Molecule: long non-coding RNA, 9015 nt
Filed under: Vitis vinifera (wine grape)
Lineage: Eukaryota; Viridiplantae; Streptophyta; Magnoliopsida; Vitales; Vitaceae
Description: long non-coding RNA (VVIN_LNC000266)
Source: RNAcentral
AAAGCAUGUUUUCUCAAGUACGUAUGCCUGCAACAUCAUCGGUUUUUUCAGCAUACACCACCUUUGUUGCAUCUGCAAUGCUGGUUAAAACCAUGCUACAUGAAGUUCAGACCUUGGCCAAACAGCUCGUACCUCAACAACUCCAGGACAAGAUUUUAUCAGGAAUUGGAAGGCUUCUUGGGGACCCCUCCUCUCAGAUGACUCUUGUCAUUGAUGAAUACAACGGCUACACCAUGAAUCAAAUCUUUGAGGCUUCUCAAAUCUACCUGCAGACCAAGAUCAGCCCAGCAGUAAGUAGGCUCAGGGUUUCCCGAUCUCCAAGAGAGAAGAACCUCUUGGUCACCAUCAGCAACGGUGAAAAGGUUAUUGAUGUAUUUGAGGGAAUUCAACUCAAAUGGGAAAUGGUUUCCAGUACUGAAAAGGUCAUGGGUGGAGACAAGGGCGAACGUAGAUCAAUUGAGCUCAGUUUCCUUAAGAAAAACAUGGAGAAGGUAUUGAGCUCUUACUUGCCAUAUGUGGUGGAGAGAUCAGAAUCGAUAAAAGAAGAAAACAAGGUGGUGAAGCUCUAUUCCCUAGGGAACUUCCAAGGAGGAGCCAUGGUUGGUGGGGGAGCAUGGGGGUCCAUCAAUCUCGACCACCCCUCAACUUUUGAAACAUUGGCCAUGGAUUUGAAGCUCAAGGAGGACUUGAUAAAAGACUUGGACAGAUUUGUAAGGAGGAGGAAGUUCUAUAAAAGAGUUGGUAAGGCAUGGAAAAGAGGGUAUUUGUUGUAUGGCCCUCCAGGCACAGGCAAGACAAGCUUGAUUGCAGCCAUGGCCAACUAUCUGAAAUUUGAUGUCUAUGAUUUAGAGCUCACAAGUCUCCAGAGGAACUCACAGCUUAGAAAGCUCUUAGUCUCCACCAAGAACAGAUCAAUACUUGUGAUUGAGGACAUCGAUUGCAGCACUGAAUUACAAGACAGACAAGCUGGAAGAUACAACCAACCUACCACUCAGGUCAGUUUACAGAGGCAUAUAAUUACCCUAUAAUACAUAAAAUUAGAAAUUCCUCUCGCCCCUUGUAAUAAAUUGUUGUUUUUUUGCUUAUUGACUGACAGCUGACACUAUCUGGGCUGCUUAAUUUCAUUGAUGGGCUGUGGUCAAGCUGUGGGGAUGAGAGGAUAAUAGUGUUCACAACAAAUCACAAAGACAGGAUAGAUCCUGCAUUGCUGAGACCAGGGCGCAUGGAUAUGCACAUCCACAUGUCCUACUGCACUCCCUAUGGAUUUAAGACCCUGGCUUCCAACUACCUUGGAGUAAGCAACCACAGACUGUUCACUGAAAUCGAAAGGCUGAUAACAGAGGUGGAGGUGACCCCAGCCGAGAUUGCAGAAGAGCUCAUGAAAAGUGAGGAAGCUGAUGUGGCCCUUGAAGGUCUCAUCGAGUUCCUCAAGAGGGCCAAGAUUGCAGAAAAUAAAUCAAAUGGUGAGGGAAAAGAAGUUGAUGAACAAGGAACAGAAAGGCGGGAUGUUGUUGAGAGUGAAAAGGUAGUAGAAACAAAGAGGCAGAAAGAAGAUAGUGAAUGGAGAACUAGAGAUUUCUGAUUUUAUGCCAUGCGCAUACUCGUUUUCUGUUGAAGAAAACCAAUCCUGCCUUCUCUGAGGCCUGUAAAACCAUGAACUUCAAAUAGAACCCAUUGAAAUUCAAUGGGGAUGGAGGGCACUUUCCACGAUUCACCCAGGACAGGUAAGUACAUAAAAUGCGGCUGAAACUUUCAUAUAUAUAUUAUCUGGUUUGAGUCUCUUUCUUUUCCUCUCCGAUGUGGGAUUUGUAGCAGUUGCUGAUGAACUUGAAAGAGACAUGGGUAAAAUAAUUAUAAUAAUAACUCUUUUGAAGUUUACAAUACAAUUUAAAUAUAAAUAUUUUUUUCCUUCAAAAAGCACUUUAACAUUACACCGACCUAAAGAUCUCAGAAAAAAUAUCCCUAAUAAAAGAGCAUCACACUGCAUGUUUUCUUAAAAAAGUUAGAAUUAUUUUGUUGAUGUAAGGAUUAUUUUAUUUUAUUUUAGUUAAAUUUCAAAAGAAAAAGAGGAAAAUAGCUUCCAGUUUUGAAAACCAUAACGUUAAUUAAAUGAUUGCUUCUCAUAUAUAUUUCUUUUUCUUUGGAAAAAGUGCUUUUAAAGUGACAUGACAAUAAAAAAAACUAUUGGAGGAGAAUAUUCUAGUCAGAAAAAGUCAUAUUCAGCUCCUUAAAAUGCGAUAUUAAUUCAUUCAAAUUUAAAAUUAAUAAAUGUUUACUAAAUAUUACUAAAAAUGUUUACUUUUAGAGAAAUAUUACUAAAAAUGCCAUUUAAACCCCUAAAAAUGGUUUUUAAAGUUGAGUAUUUUCUUUAACUAAUUGAUAUUGUAAAUAUAUAAAUAAUUUUUACAUUCACACUUUAUAAAAGAUAAAAAUGUUUCAUUUUGAAAAUUUUAUGCAUUAGUUUUAAUUUUUUCAAAUGAAGGAUUACUUUGUAAAUAUUUCUAAAUAUGUUUGAUUUCAAUAAUUGAUAAAUUAUAUGACCAAAAUAUCAUAAAUUGGUAAAUAUCAAUUAUUGGAUUUUAUGAAGAUAAAAUUUAUGAUAUCAAAUAGUAAUGCAUUAUACUUAGAAAUAGAUGAUGUAUUUUUUCUAUUUAAAAUGUAAUUAAUAAUAUAAAAAAUUAAUUAAUAAUGAUAUAUUUAUGAUAAUUUUUUGUUUAAAAAUAUUUAUAAUUUUAUUUAAAAUUCAAUUUUAUUUUAUAUUUAAUAAUUAUAUAAAAGAUUAAAAAAAAUUAAAAGUAAAUCAAAUAUAAUUUAUUUAUAAAAAUUUAUUAAUUUUCACUAUUUUACUUAUUUUACAUAUAUAUAUAUUUAUAUAUAUUGGGAGUGAAACUCGCUUCUUCUCUCAUUCUUCUUCUUUCCUUUGUUUCUCUUCAUUUCCUAUUCUCUAUUCCUCUUUCCUUCUUGUCUUCGUUUCUCUUCCAACAUCCAAACUUUUAUUCACAAAGGUUGAACUGUUUCUCUCUUCUAAAAUCAAAACAUUACUCAUUGAGGCCAAAAUCCAAAUUGUAGUUGUUGUAAAGAUUAUUUGUUAGGGUUUCAGUUUUUGUUUUAAUUUUUCUAUUCUUUUUCAUUUUUUUGCAUUUUGUUCUUUUGUGUUAUUGUUUAUGUUUUGUUUUGUUUAUGGGAAAUCCUAGAAUUUAUGGAGGUUUUGGCUUUGAAAUGCAUCUGAAAAAUCAUAUGGGAUAAAUCCUGAAAUAUCCGAAAAAUGACCAAAAAGAAAAAAAUUUGUCAAAUAAUGUUGAAUUUUUGGUUGAAAUUUUGUUAGACCAAUUUUUUUUUUUUUUUUUUUCCCAUUUUGUGAUUUUCCCUCAUAUGUGAAGAAUUUUUCUUCACGGUGAAGAGAUAAGAACACCCAAGAACACUGAUUGAAAAAUAAUGUCUUUUUUUUUUCUUCUUAGAAUAGUGGCAAAAACACGGAAAACACCAUUUUUUUUGUUCUCUAAAAAUCGAGCUUUAGAAAACACGGAGAACACAUGGGAACAAAAAACACUCUCUUAUCAAACAUGUUUUAUGUAUUUUGUAUUCUCAAAAACAAAAAACUGUUUUUGAAAACACUAACCAAACAAGCCUUGAAUUUCCAAACACCCUUAAGAGCGUCUGAAUUAUAUCUCCAACCACUUUUAAAAGCAUGCCACUUUAUACCUACAAAUGCUGUGUAAUAUAUAUAUUUUUUUUUUUCCUUCAAUUUUUCUUUUCACAUUUUCAAAUGUUUUCACUUUUACAUCACUUUUAAAUUAUUUCUAAAUACUUUUAACUAUUCUUAUAAUAAGUAUUUGUCAAAAUUUGCAUAAAUAAUAUGCACUAAAUUAUAUUUAUACGUAACAAACAUAAUAUUAGAGUAUGAGAAGAAAAAUCAAUAACCCAAAUCAUCAAAUCUAAAAAAAAAUGACAAGAAUAAGGUUUAAUUCUAUGUGAAUCUCACUUUAAUAAAAUUUAUGUGACCCAAAUAUCCAUAUGCAAGACAAAACUAUAAAAUGAUCUCAUAAGAAUAAAGUUUAAUUCUAUAUGAAUCUUACUUUAAUAAAAUUUGUAGGCCUUUUUUUAUGCUAGUUUCCUCUAAUAUGAUAAGAAUAGGAUUUAAUUCUAUAUGAAUCUUCUUCAAUAAUUCUAAUAUCCAUAUCUCCUUCUAUAUCUAAAAUCAAUAUAAUUCUAAUAUGAAAAUACAAAAAAAGAAACAAAAAAUUUCUAAAAAGAUGUUAGAAGAAUAAUGUUUAAUUCUUUGUGAAUCUCACUUUAAUUAAAUUUAUAGGAAUUUUUUUCCCUUUUUUUUUUUUUGUUUUUAACUUAGUUUCUUCUCAUGUCCCUAAUGAAUACCACCUAAGUCUCCAAAUCUAAUAGGAAAUCUAGAAAGAUUUUACAAGAAUAAAGUUUAAUCCCGUGUGGGUCUCACUUUAAUUAAAUUUAUAGGAUUUUUUUUUUAUAGUCUAGUUUGCUCUUAUUUCUCUAAUAAAUCAAUCCCACUUAAAUCUUCAAAUCUAGAAUGAUUUUACAAAAAUAAGACUUAAUUCUAUGUAAAUCUAAAUUUAAUAAAAUUUAUAAAAUUAUUUUUUAUCUUCUUUUUUUCUUAUAUCUUAAAUUAAUAUCACCUAAAUCUCUAAACCUAAGAGAGACUGUGAUAUGCUCCACUGGAUAUGGGAGAAAGGUUCUAAUCCUAUAUAAGUACAGGUUCUAUUAAUCAUGUAAAUAUAUUUUAAAAUUAUAAUGACCAUUUAGAAAAAAUGAAAAAGAGAAAAAAAUUUCAAUUAAAUUAUUUGUAAAUAAAACUUAAACAUAAUAUAAUUUAGAUAAAAGUUUUAAUUAACAUUUGUAAAAGAAACUUAACUCCAAAAACAAAAACAAAAACAAAAAAUUCAAGUGAAUAUUCUAAAAUCAUUAAACAUUCCAAAACAAGGCUCACAAGAAAUCACAACAGAACUUAGCCCUAGCUUAUCCACAUGCCAAAGACCAUUUACACAUUAAAUCCUUAGAUAUUUCAAAAAAAAAAAAAAGGCUCUUAAUAAAACAUAACUGAAUUUAACCAUAGUUCAGUCACUACAAAAAUCAAUUUGUAUUUAAUUUCUAAAUGUUCUAAAAAUUGCUUAAAAUAAAACCAAUAGAACUUAAUCUUUGUUUAGUUAUACUUCAAACACUACUUAAGUUAAUAAUAUAUUUAGUUACUAUAUAUUCAUUUAUUUAGUUACUAACAAGAAAUAGUUUUUUUUUCUUUUUUCCUACUUAAAUGUUUUUUGGAUUUCAACAUGGUAUCAAAGUAAAAUUGAUUUUUGAUGGAACAUUUGGUUUAUGAUCUUAUUUGAGAGAGUUUAAUAUCAUACAUUGUUUUCACAAAUCUAACUAUCAUACACCGCAUGCAUCGACUCAUAACAUUUGUUUUCUUCUCUUUUUCCUUGGUGGUUUUAAUUUCAUUUCUUCUACUUCUUUAAGCAUAAACAUUUCUUUUUUAGUCAUGUUUUCUUCCUUAAGCAUAUAUCUUUUUUAUUCUUGUUAAGUCUCAUAAUGUCUCAAUCUGUACUCAUUCACAUUGAUCAUUUAUUGGAUGAUAUAUAUAGUUUUCCUACAGAUAUUGGUAUUUUGGUUCUUGAUUAUGAAGUUAUUUCCUCUCUUCCUACAACUAAUCUUGCAUCUUUGAGAUUAUGGAUCCUCUUUUGUCACGUUCUUCUCGACAUCUUUCAAGUUAUGACCAAGGAACUUUCUACCUUGUAUAAAACUGAUGCUUGGGAUUUGGUACACUUACCACCUACAUAGUAUGGAUUAUGAGGAGACUUUUAUUCCUGUUACAAAGACGACUAUUAUUCUUACUCUUAUUACUGUUACUACUCUUUUUUCUCUCACUCAGAUGUAUUGUGACAACAAGAAUGUUAUUCAAAUUGCUCACAACUCUAUCUUUUAUAAAAUGACCAAGCAUAUUGAGACUGAUUAUCACCUUACUCAUCAUCACCUUCAACAUACAACUCUCACUUUACCUUUUCCUUCUCUCAAUUAGCAAACUCUUCAUGUUUCUUACGGCCACAACAUGAGUUUGUGAGGAUGUUAAAAGUUAUUUAUACAUUUAGUUAUUAUAUUAAAAUUAUAUAUUUAUUUAUUUAGUUAUUAUAUUAUAAUUAUUUUCCUUUUUUUUAGGAAAGUAAAGUAAAUUAGUCUUUAAUUUCUUUUAUUAAAUCUAUUUAAAUUCUAAUGAUGUUGUAGAAUUUGUAAUAAAAAAUUCUAAUUUUUUUUCUUUUCUUUUCUUUCUUCCUUUGAAUCUAUUUUGGAUUUCAACAUGCAGCACAUCUAAUGAAUUUUUAGCUAAAAUAGUCAAAAUACGUAAAGGACAAAAAUCACAAAAAUGGGGCCAAAUAUGUGACGAACAACAAAUUGAAAUCCUAAAUAUUAUCAAAAUUUUGUUUAAUUAUCUUUUCAUCAUAUUUUAGAAAUUUUUCCAUUUAACGGUUAGUGUUUUACCUUUUAAGUCUAUCUAUUUCAUGCUUCUAGUUUCAUAAAGAAAAAGAAAAAAAAAACCCAAAAAAAAAAAUUCUAUUUUUCAGAUUUUAUUUUUCUCUCCCCUUUUGACUUUUUAUAUAACACAAUCUUUUGAAUUUGACCUAUAAUUUUAUACCAAAACUAUUGAAUUUCUUAAUUUUAUUAAGAAAGACACACUGAAUAACAUUCAUAAUGGGACUCUUAAAUUAUAAAAGAUUAUCAAACAAUAAUAACAAAUUUUAUUGAUGGAUACAACAACAUUCAUUUUUAUUUAUUUGUUUACUGUUUUUUCAAAACGUUUUCUUUAUUGUUAACCAUGAAGGUACGAGCCAUUCAUUCAGCACCAACACUUAAGCCAAUCCAAAUUUGACUUAACCAAUUAGACCCAAAGUUGAAAAAUUAAGGUUAGUUUCAGUUCUGAUUAAGCACAUCAAAUUAAGGGGGUUAAGUUGAAUUUAGGUAAAACAUUUCUUAACUCAAACCGGGUGAAGUUGGCCCAAACUAAAAUUAACAAAAACUAGUAAAGCCAUGUCUAAGAUUUGAUUUUAGAACCCUCAGGAUCCAUCGUUACCUUGAAAUUUAAUUAAAUAUCCUUUUUACAAUUCUCAUUUGUUAUUUUCACUCAUCUUUCGUUUGAAUCAAAAUAAGGGAGAUAAUUACUUGACCAAUUUAUAAAAAUAUUUUAUAAAAUAAAUUUUACUCACCUCAUCAAACGUUGAGGCUGAAUGCACUUAAAGAGUGUUUGUUUUUUUUACCUUUUUAUUGAAAACGUUGCUUUCGGUCUUUAGGAUGUUCGUUUUUCUAAUUUUUUAUGACUUACUAUAAAUUUUUUAUUAAACAAAAAAAACCAAAAUAUUUAAUUUAAAAAAAAAAAAAAAAAGUAACAUGUUAAUUUUUCUUUACAUUUUAAUACUUAAUAAAAAUAAAAUAUUAUAAAAAUAAACAACAUAAUACCUAACACUAUUAAACAUUUUUUAAUUCUAAGUUCUAUUUAGAAUUAAUUAAGAAAAACAAACAAAGAAACAAACAUCAUCUUAAUCAUCAUAAAUUUACUUCUUAUUUUAAAUAAAAUGGUAGAUGUGUGAAAAUAACUAAUAGGAAAAAAUUUUAAUAAAAUUUCAAAUUAAUUAUGGAUAAAUAUAAGUGAAAUUAAUUAUAUUUUAUAAUAUGGAAAUUUUGUUUUAAAACUAGAAUCACAAUUGAGUAUCAGAUGUUAGCCCCUUUUUAGCCAAGAAGGCCAAAGGAGAUCUUUUGUAUGGUAUUAAGGGAGGUUUUCAACCUGUGACGAUCACCAUGAUCUCAAACUUGCACUAAAAUCUACCCAAAUUUAAAAACAAAUUCUUAAACUUGUCUAUAUCUCAAUCAUCCUUAUCAUAAAUUCAUUUUAUUAAAGGUGUUUGAAUAAACCCGUCUCUAUCUUGUUUAUCCUUAUCACAAAUUCAUUCUAUUAAGAGUGGGUCAGUACUUGAAUAAACUUCUCCUAUUAUCAUCCCUAUUUAGGUGUUUCCAUCCCUCUAUUUACAUGUUUCUUUAAAUUCAUUUUACUUUUUUUUUAAAAGAAAAUAAUUUUAAAAUUUAUAAGUUUCUACUUAAUUUAAAUUAAAUGUGAUUUUUUCUUUUCCUUGGAAUCAAACAUAAAGUAAAACUCUUGAUUACAUUUCUAAAUUUUGAAGUUCCUUCCGAUACCUCAAAAGGGACAAAGCUCCUAAACCAUCAAACUUUGUUGUUGUCACUUGUCACAUUGGUGAAGCAUUUAAAUCAUCAUCAUCAUGCAAUAUUACUUUGUGGGUUUCCAUCUGGGCAUGUGAUUUAGCAAAAUAAAACUAAGAAUGGUUAAGGCCAAGUGAGAUUUAUAUUGGACAGUGAACUACAAGAUUUGGAUCACCAGUGGUUGUCACCCAAUUGCCUAGAUAUUUGGUUACUCUAUGGAAUCAAAAGAAGGAUAAUCACUCACAUCAACAUAUUCUGAUCAUUUUAUCGGUUUGACUUGUCAGAAACAAGAAUUUUGCAUCUAUGAUCUAUUCUCAAAGAAGGAUAAUCACUCACAUCAACAUAUUCUGAUCAUUUUAUGGGUUUGACUUGUCAGAAACAAGAAUUUUGCAUCUAUGAUCUAUUCUCAUUUUGUGUGGUAUAUAUUAUAUUUAAUUUCGUUGCCACCAAUGCUGAGGGUUCCAAAGAAGCUUUGUCCCACAGCUUGGUUCUAUAUAUGUGAAAAAGCAAGCUUUCAACACUAUAAAACCUACAAUUUCCUUCUACUCCUUCAUCCAAAUCCAAAGCAUGUUUUCUAUAGUAAGUAUGCCUUCAACAUCAUCGGUUUUAUCAGCAUACACCACCUUUGCUGCAUCAGCAAUGGUGGUUAAAACCAUGCUACAUGAAGUUCAGACCAUGGCCAAACAGCUCAUACCUCAACCACUCCAGGACAAGAUUUUAUCAGGAAUUGGAAGGCUUCUUGGGGAUCCCUCCUCUCAGAUGACUCUUGUCAUUGAUGAAUACAACGGC